This 288-nucleotide long non-coding RNA is filed under the name Fukomys damarensis (Damara mole-rat). RNAcentral describes it as "lncRNA (ENSFDAG00000032290.1)". Lineage: Eukaryota; Metazoa; Chordata; Mammalia; Rodentia; Bathyergidae. The record is from RNAcentral.
UCAGAGAGGAGAAAGCUGAGGUCCAGCAAGGGGCAGCACCUCUGACCAUGGCUACUUGGCCUCAAGGCCUUGUGGACCCCUGAGAAUCACCCCUCAAGGUGUACACAGUGCCCUCCUGCUGCCUCCAUGCCCCCGCUCCAGCAUAGGCCUUCCUGUCCUGCUCAGGGACAGGUCUCCACGGAGCUCAACAUGAGACCCACUCUGCUGAAGGUGGCUUCCAGGUCUUGUACCUGGGACAGCCUUCCCCAUCUACAGCCAAGUGCCCGGAUGCGCCCUGCCUGGCUCUGA